This 564-nucleotide ribosomal RNA is filed under the name uncultured bacterium. RNAcentral's name for it is "partial 16S ribosomal RNA". It matches the Rfam family "Bacterial small subunit ribosomal RNA", at positions 355 to 912 of the family's 1533-position model. The record is from RNAcentral.
UGGGGAAUUUUGGACAAUGGGGGAAACCCUGAUCCAGCCAUCCCGCGUGUGCGAUGAAGGCCUUCGGGUUGUAAAGCACUUUUGGCAGGAAAGAAACGUCGCGGGUUAAUACCCCGCGGAACUGACGGUACCUGCAGAAUAAGCACCGGCUAACUACGUGCCAGCAGCCGCGGUAAUACGUAGGGUGCAAGCGUUAAUCGGAAUUACUGGGCGUAAAGCGUGCGCAGGCGGUUCGGAAAGAAAGAUGUGAAAUCCCAGAGCUUAACUUUGGAACUGCAUUUUUAACUACCGGGCUAGAGUGUGUCAGAGGGAGGUGGAAUUCCGCGUGUAGCAGUGAAAUGCGUAGAUAUGCGGAGGAACACCGAUGGCGAAGGCAGCCUCCUGGGAUAACACUGACGCUCAUGCACGAAAGCGUGGGGAGCAAACAGGAUUAGAUACCCUGGUAGUCCACGCCCUAAACGAUGUCAACUAGCUGUUGGGGUCUUCGGACCUUGGUAGCGCAGCUAACGCGUGAAGUUGACCGCCUGGGGAGUACGGUCGCAAGAUUAAAACUCAAAUGAAUUG